This 781-nucleotide ribosomal RNA is filed under the name uncultured bacterium. RNAcentral's name for it is "bacterial SSU rRNA". It matches the Rfam family "Bacterial small subunit ribosomal RNA", at positions 560 to 1341 of the family's 1533-position model. The record is from RNAcentral.
GUAAAGCGCUCGCAGGCGGUCUUUUAAGUCUGAUGUGAAAGCCCACGGCUUAACCGUGGAGGGUCAUUGGAAACUGGAGGACUUGAGUACAGAAGAGGAGAGUGGAAUUCCACGUGUAGCGGUGAAAUGCGUAGAGAUGUGGAGGAACACCAGUGGCGGAGGCGACUCUCUGGUCUGUAACUGACGCUGAGGAGCGAAAGCGUGGGGAGCGAACAGGAUUAGAUACCCUGGUAGUCCACGCCGUAAACGAUGAGUGCUAGGUGUUAGGGGGUUUCCGCCCCUUAGUGCUGAAGUUAACGCAUUAAGCACUCCGCCUGGGGAGUACGGCCGCAAGGCUGAAACUCAAAAGAAUUGACGGGGGCCCGCACAAGCGGUGGAGCAUGUGGUUUAAUUCGAAGCAACGCGAAGAACCUUACCAGGUCUUGACAUCCUCUGACACUCCUAGAGAUAGGAUUUUCCCUUCGGGGACAGAGUGACAGGUGGUGCAUGGUUGUCGUCAGCUCGUGUCGUGAGAUGUUGGGUUAAGUCCCGCAACGAGCGCAACCCUUGAUCUUAGUUGCCAGCAUUUAGUUGGGCACUCUAGGAUGACUGCCGGUGACAAACCGGAGGAAGGUGGGGAUGACGUCAAAUCAUCAUGCCCCUUAUGACCUGGGCUACACACGUGCUACAAUGGUUGGUACAAAGGGAAGCAAUACCGCGAGGUCAAGCAAAUCCCAUAAAACCAUUCUCAGUUCGGAUUGCAGGCUGCAACUCGCCUGCAUGAAGCCGGAAUCGCUAGUAA